CGAACGCUGGCGGCAGGCUUAACACAUGCAAGUCGAGCGGGCGUAGCAAUACGUCAGCGGCAGACGGGUGAGUAACGCGUGGGAACGUACCUUUUGGUUCGGAACAACACAGGGAAACUUGUGCUAAUACCGGAUAAGCCCUUACGGGGAAAGAUUUAUCGCCGAAAGAUCGGCCCGCGUCUGAUUAGCUAGUUGGUAGGGUAAUGGCCUACCAAGGCGACGAUCAGUAGCUGGUCUGAGAGGAUGAUCAGCCACAUUGGGACUGAGACACGGCCCAAACUCCUACGGGAGGCAGCAGUGGGGAAUAUUGGACAAUUGGGGCAACCCUGAUCCAGCCAUGCCGCGUGAGUGAUGAAGGCCCUAGGGUUGUAAAGCUCUUUUGUGCGGGAAGAUAAUGACGGUACCGCAAGAAUAAGCCCCGGCUAACUUC
RNAcentral lists this ribosomal RNA (430 nucleotides) under uncultured bacterium. RNAcentral's name for it is "bacterial SSU rRNA". It matches the Rfam family "Bacterial small subunit ribosomal RNA", at positions 30 to 504 of the family's 1533-position model. The record is from RNAcentral.